RNAcentral lists this small nucleolar RNA (82 nucleotides) under Zostera marina. Its description in RNAcentral is "Small nucleolar RNA snoR60". It matches the Rfam family "Small nucleolar RNA snoR60". From Rfam's summary of the family: snoR60 is a member of the C/D class of snoRNA which contain the C (UGAUGA) and D (CUGA) box motifs. Lineage: Eukaryota; Viridiplantae; Streptophyta; Magnoliopsida; Alismatales; Zosteraceae. The record is from Rfam by way of RNAcentral.
UAGCAUGGGAUGAUUUCUUGGAUUCCCCUUCAGGACAGAUGAGUUUCAUCUGUAUGAUGCACGUCUCCAAGAUUCUGAUGCU